This 313-nucleotide small nuclear RNA is filed under the name Erinaceus europaeus (western European hedgehog). Its description in RNAcentral is "7SK RNA". It matches the Rfam family "7SK RNA". Rfam says of the family: 7SK was discovered as an abundant small nuclear RNA in the mid-70s but a possible function has only recently been suggested. Two independent studies have found that 7SK RNA binds the CDK9/cyclin T complex (known as elongation factor P-TEFb). Lineage: Eukaryota; Metazoa; Chordata; Mammalia; Eulipotyphla; Erinaceidae. The record is from Rfam by way of RNAcentral.
GGAUGUGAGGGCGAUCUGGCUGCGACAUCUGUCACCCCAUUGAUCGCCAGGGUUGAUUCGGCUGAUCUGGCUGGCUAGGCGGGUGUCCCCUUCCUCCCUCACCGCUCCAUGUGCGUCCCUCCCGAAGAGGACAGCCUUCCCCAAUAGAGACGGACCGGUCUUCGGUGGAGGGUAUAUGAGUAGCUGCGCUCCCCUGCUAGAACUUCCAAACAAGCUCUCAAGAAGACAAUAAAUAGUUAUUGCUAUAAUCACAUUGUUUGGCAAUUGAGUUAACUUUGAAAAAUCCAUUUGUUAGGAUUUGCAUACACACCAU